RNAcentral lists this ribosomal RNA (248 nucleotides) under uncultured Peptostreptococcus sp. Its description in RNAcentral is "partial 16S ribosomal RNA". It matches the Rfam family "Bacterial small subunit ribosomal RNA", at positions 108 to 355 of the family's 1533-position model. The record is from RNAcentral. Lineage: Bacteria; Bacillati; Bacillota; Clostridia; Peptostreptococcales; Peptostreptococcaceae.
GAGUAACGCGUGGGUAACCUGCCCUAUACACAUGGAUAACAUACUGAAAAGUUUACUAAUACAUGAUAAUAUAUAUUUACGGCAUCGUAGAUAUAUCAAAGUGUUAGCGGUAUAGGAUGGACCCGCGUUUGAUUAGCUAGUUGGUGAGAUAACUGCCCACCAAGGCGACGAUCAGUAGCCGACCUGAGAGGGUGAUCGGCCACAUUGGAACUGAGACACGGUCCAAACUCCUACGGGAGGCAGCAGCU